Molecule: long non-coding RNA, 509 nt
Organism: Polyodon spathula (Mississippi paddlefish)
Lineage: Eukaryota; Metazoa; Chordata; Actinopteri; Acipenseriformes; Polyodontidae
Exons: 4
Source: RefSeq, a predicted model, not a curated record
AAACUGGACCGGACCACAUCAAAUGAUAAAAACUGCUCCGAAAGAAAUCGGCAAAAAAAUUCCCUUAAAUAUAUAUUUGUAUAUAAUGAACAGUUACAGUGACUAACAUUACAAAUCAAUAUUUGUUUCGUCAUUCAUUUUCGUGGAUAGUUGGGUAAAGGCCGGCUGCUUGACUGAAAACCUGUUGCCAGAUUAUCGCCAGAUCAACACAUUGAAGGGGCGUACAUUUUUGAAAAAAAUGUUUUAAAAGUGCAGCGGAGCAGCGGGUAGUCCCGUAUAUUAUUUAGUGGAUGGUUCGGUACUAUACAUACUCAACGAUGAAACGAAGAAUCCAGUCUGUUCCGCAGUUCAUUCAGAGGAAGCCAACUCUGGGACCUUCCCAGCCGGAGCCUACACAACAGGGCUCUUCAGUGAAGCUUGGAAAGCACAGAACACAGUAUAGUCCACCCAACCCUCGUUAUAUCGCCCCUCGCUAUACUGCGGAUUCUGAUAUAUCGCGGUCCUGGAGU